This 374-nucleotide ribosomal RNA is filed under the name uncultured organism. RNAcentral describes it as "partial 16S ribosomal RNA". It matches the Rfam family "Bacterial small subunit ribosomal RNA", at positions 527 to 896 of the family's 1533-position model. The record is from RNAcentral.
GUAGGUGGCAAGCGUUGUCCGGAAUUAUUGGGCGUAAAGCGCGCGCAGGCGGUUUUUUAAGGUCUGAUGUGAAAGCCCACGGCUCAACCGUGGAGGGUCAUUGGAAACUGGAGAACUUGAGUACAGAAGAGGAAAGCGGAAUUCCACGUGUAGCGGUGAAAUGCGUAGAGAUGUGGAGGAACACCAGUGGCGAAGGCGGCUUUCUGGUCUGUAACUGACGCUGAGGCGCGAAAGCGUGGGGAGCAAACAGGAUUAGAUACCCUGGUAGUCCACGCCGUAAACGAUGAGUGCUAAGUGUUAGGGGGGUUUCCGCCCCUUAGUGCUGCAGCUAACGCAUUAAGCACUCCGCCUGGGGAGUACGGCCGCAAAGGCUG